RNAcentral lists this ribosomal RNA (417 nucleotides) under uncultured bacterium. RNAcentral's name for it is "bacterial SSU rRNA". It matches the Rfam family "Bacterial small subunit ribosomal RNA", at positions 506 to 921 of the family's 1533-position model. The record is from RNAcentral.
GGCCAGCAGCCGCGGUAAUACGUAGGGGGCUAGCGUUGUCCGGAAUUACUGGGUGUAAAGGGCGUGUAGACGGGUUAUUAAGUCAGAUGUGAAAUACCGAGGCUCAACUUCGGGGCUGCAUCUGAAACUAAUGAUCUUGAGUGCAGGAGAGGAAAGCGGAAUUCCAAGUGUAGCGGUGAAAUGCGUAGAUAUUUGGAGGAACACCAGUGGCGAAGGCGGCUUUCUGGACUGUAACUGACGUUGAGGCGCGAAAGCGUGGGGAGCAAACAGGAUUAGAUACCCUGGUAGUCCACGCCGUAAACGAUGGAUACUAGGUGUAGGAGGUAUCGACCCCUUCUGUGCCGGAGUUAACACAAUAAGUAUCCCACCUGGGGAGUACGGCCGCAAGGUUGAAACUUAAAGGAAUUGGCGGGGGAC